GAUGAACGCUAGCGGCAGGCUUAAUACAUGCAAGUCGAGGGGCAGCGCAGUGUAGCAAUACAUGGGCGGCGACCGGCAAACGGGUGCGGAACACGUACAGAACCUUCCUUCGAGCGGGGAAUAGCCCAGAGAAAUUUGGAUUAAUACCCCAUAGUAUAUUGAUAAGGCAUCUUAUUAAUAUUAAAGAUUAUCACUUGAAGAUGGCUGUGCGGCUGAUUAGGAGGUUGGCGGGGUAACGGCCCACCAAGCCUGCGAUCAGUAACUGGUGUGAGAGCACGACCAGUCACACGGGCACUGAGACACGGGCCCGACUCCUACGGAGGCAGCAGUAAGGAAUAUUGGUC
This 344-nucleotide ribosomal RNA is filed under the name uncultured bacterium. Its description in RNAcentral is "bacterial SSU rRNA". It matches the Rfam family "Bacterial small subunit ribosomal RNA", at positions 28 to 369 of the family's 1533-position model. The record is from RNAcentral.